GACGGGCAAAUUAGGAGUAUUAUUUGUAAAUGGUUAAUUUGCAUCUGAAUAUUCAUUGAUGUUAACACCUUGGAGAUCUGAUGCCCUGA
Small nucleolar RNA from Papaver somniferum (opium poppy), 89 nucleotides. The record is from RefSeq and is a predicted model, not a curated record. Lineage: Eukaryota; Viridiplantae; Streptophyta; Magnoliopsida; Ranunculales; Papaveraceae.